This 253-nucleotide ribosomal RNA is filed under the name uncultured bacterium. Its description in RNAcentral is "partial 16S ribosomal RNA". It matches the Rfam family "Bacterial small subunit ribosomal RNA", at positions 524 to 776 of the family's 1533-position model. The record is from RNAcentral.
UACGUAGGAGGCGAGCGUUGUCCGGAUUUACUGGGCGUAAAGCGCGCGCAGGCGGCACUUCAAGUAAGGUGUGAAAUCUCCCUGCUCAACGGGGAGGGUGCACUUUAGACUGAGGAGCUAGAGGACGGUAGAGGGGGGUGGAAUUGCUGGUGUAGCGGUGAAAUGCGUAGAGAUCAGCAGGAACACCCGUGGCGAAGGCGGCCCCCUGGGCUAACACUGACGCUCAGGCACGAAAGCGUGGGGAGCAAACAGG